UCUCUCAAAUAUGAACAUUGACAAGUGUGAAAUGCAUGCACCAAGACAGAAGUUAAAUUGUGUGUCGACCCACAUUGUUAACUUAUGGUAUAAUGGCGCAGGGAGGAGUGAUGAAUAUGUGUGUGUGUUAAAGAACCAAAUGCUGCCCGCGGCCAGUGACGGACUUCUAUGUCACAGUCACACUCCCCAUCCAACCUGACAGAGCUUGAGAGGAUCUGCAGAGAAGAAUGGGAGAAACUCCCCAAAUACAGGACCUGAGCCCUAGGACCAUGCCCCAGGACUACCUGACAUGAUGACUCCUUGCUGUCCCCAGUCCACCUGGCCGUGCUGCUGCUCCAGUUUUAACUGACCUGAGCCCUAGGACCAUGCCCCAGGACUACCUGACAUGAUGACUCCUUGCUGUCCCCAGUCCAUCUGACCGUGCUGCUGCUCCAGUUUCAACUGUUCUGCCUUAUUAUUAUACAACCAUGCUGGUCAUUUAUGAACAUUUGAACAUCUUGGCCAUGUUCUGUUAUAAUCUCCACCCGGCACAGCCAGAAGAGGACUGGCCACCCCACAUAGCCUGGUUCCUCUCUAGGUUUCUUCCUAGGUCCUAGGUUUUGGCCUUUCUAGGGAGUUUUUCCUAGCCACCGUGCUUCUACACCUGCAUUGCUUGCUGUUUGGGAUUUUAGGCUGGGUUUCUGUACAGCACUUUUAGAUAUCAGCUGAUGUACGAAGGGCUAUAUAAAUCGAUUUGAUUUGAUUUGAUUUGAUAUGUCUGCGUGUAGUUUGAAGGAAGUUGCUAGCAUGCUAGGAGAUACCAUAGACUCCCAGUCAUUGCGCUAACUCUAGUUAGCAUUGGCUUGUGAAAUGACCUCUAAACUUCCUUCAUACUGGAUGCAGAGACAUAAAAUGUUUACCAUUGCCAAAAUCCCAAAGUAUCCCUUUAACACUAGAACCGCCAUAGGCCAACUGCCAGCCAUUUGAUUUGGUAAAUAAAUUAAAAAGCAGCCCAAAAAAAUAAAUCCUGCUCCAUCCCUGACAUUUCCUAAAUGUCUGCUCAUUUUUAAAUCACAAACAGAAAAGUAUUUAGUCUUUUUACCCGUUUUUUUUCACCCCCACACUUAUUGCUAACUUAAUCCGCCAAGACAAUGUGCUGUAGGACAUUGGUACCCAGCCAGGUGCUAAUGCGUCUCUCUCUCCUCACUGAAUUAAUGACAAAUGUGUGAUAAUUGUGCACCUUACUUCACAGUUGAAUUUAAAUUAGGCCUAACAAUGAUAAAUGUUGAUUUUAAUUUAGAAAGACAAUAGUGUAAUGAUGAGUGUGUUAUGCCCAUUUACCAGCAGCAAAUCAUUUGACCGUAUGCCUUACGGGUUGAUACGGUUGGGUUCUGAGAAUAUUAAAUAUACUAAUUCAUGUCACUGAGAGAGAGAGGUUAAUGUAUAACGUUUACAUUGUCAGGAUAUGUUGUUGUUGUUAGCCAUCAGGGAUCCUCUGGGAGAAGAGACAGUCUGGUACCAGUCACCAUGACAGCCGUGAGUUGGGGAGUAGUGAGCACUUUGGGGCAGAGGACAGGUCAGAUGAAGUGAGGAAGAACAUAUCACUAAGGUUCUGUCUAGCAACAGAGAUGCAUUGGCUGUUCAGAUAUGUAGGAGGAGACUCAGUGUAGGAGGAGACUCAGCAUAGGAGAAAGGGAUAAAUGUGAGUGCUUGUGUGAAGAAUGUGUUGUCUGUCUGUUCAGCUGUUCGAUCCUUUGGGAAGAAUAAACUUGGUUUGAGCUUUCAUAGUGUCCGUUGAGUUCUUACUCUGAUAAUUAGAACCUAACAGUUAGCGCUGCGAGCAGGGUUCACCACAAUUUGCAGUCGGAACUAGUGAAACAGGAGCCAGGACCAAAAAUAAGUUAAGCACAGUUCCUACACCUGUUAUCACUAAUUCUGGCACCUUGGGGAGAUGAGAGUCGUAGGCUGAACCAAUUAUAAGAUACGGACCUAGAAAGCCUGAGCUUAUUCUCAUGACCACUCGAAACAUAAUAAAUAAAG
This is a long non-coding RNA of Oncorhynchus tshawytscha (Chinook salmon), 2019 nucleotides long. Lineage: Eukaryota; Metazoa; Chordata; Actinopteri; Salmoniformes; Salmonidae. The record is from Ensembl.